CUUGACAUCCAGCGAACUUGGCAGAGAUGCCUUGGUGCCUUCGGGAACGCUGAGACAGGUGCUGCAUGGCUGUCGUCAGCUCGUGUUGUGAAAUGGUUGGUUAACGUCCGCAACGAGCGCAACCCUUAUCCUUUGUUGCCAGCGAUUCGGUCGGGAACUCAAAGGAGACUGCCGGUGAUAAACCGGAGGAAGGUGGGGAUGACGUCAAGUCAUCGUGGCCCUUACGAGUAGGGCUACACACGUGCUACAAUGGCGCAUACAAAGAGAAGCGACCUCGCGAGAGCAAGCGGACCUCAUAAAGUGCGUCGUAGUCCGGAUCGGAGUCUGCAACUCGACUCCGUGAAGUCGGAAUCGCUAGUAAUCGUGGAUCAGAAUGCCACGGUGAAUACGUUCCCGGGCCUUGUACACACCGCCCGUCACACCAUGGGAGUGGGUUGCAAAAGAAGUAGGUAGCUUAACCUUCGGGAGGGCGCUUACCACUUUGUGAUUCAUGACUGGGGUGAAGUCGUAACAAGGUAAGCGUAGCGAG
RNAcentral lists this ribosomal RNA (529 nucleotides) under uncultured bacterium. RNAcentral describes it as "bacterial SSU rRNA". It matches the Rfam family "Bacterial small subunit ribosomal RNA", at positions 980 to 1509 of the family's 1533-position model. The record is from RNAcentral.